RNAcentral lists this ribosomal RNA (696 nucleotides) under Triticum aestivum (bread wheat). Its description in RNAcentral is "partial small subunit ribosomal RNA". The record is from RNAcentral. Lineage: Eukaryota; Viridiplantae; Streptophyta; Magnoliopsida; Poales; Poaceae.
ACGAACGCCACCGCCCGCUUCGCCUUCUUCGCCGGCCAGCCACGCUGGGCGCGCGCGCCGGGCCACUUCCUGCUCACCUACGCCGUGCUCUCCGACCCGCCCUGCCAGCCCCUCCCGCUCCCGCGCGGGGCCGUACGCGCCGCCUUCCGCCGCGCGUUCGCGCGCUGGGCGCGCAUCAUCCCGGUGCGGUUCCGUGAGACGCGCGACUACAACACGGCGGACGUGCGCGUGGGCUUCCUCGCGGGCGACCACGGCGACGGCGAGCCCUUCGACGGCGUGCUGGGCCACGCCUUCUCCCCGCCCAGCGGCCAGCUCCACCUCGACGCCGCCGAGCCAUGGGCCGUCCUCCGCGAUGACGUCCACGGCGCAGACUCCGGCGCCGUGGACCUGGAGUCGGUGGCCACGCACGAGAUUGGCCACGUGCUGGGCCCGGCGCACUCGUCCGUGCCGGACGCCGUCAUGUUCCCGAGCCUGAAGCCGCGCACCCGGAAGGCGGAGCUCACCCUGGACUACGUCCGCGGCGUGCAGGCGCUCUACGGCUCCAACCCGCGCUUCAGCCUCAGCUCCCUCUCCGAGCCCGACACCUCCUCAGCCGCCCCGGCGGUGGCCACCACCAGGUCGCCCGGGAAGACGACGACGCAUAUGGCCAUCCUGCUCUUACUUGUCACCGUCACUCUUCUGCUCCUCCUCUGCUAG